RNAcentral lists this transfer RNA (75 nucleotides) under Paroedura androyensis. RNAcentral describes it as "tRNA-Asn". The record is from RNAcentral. Lineage: Eukaryota; Metazoa; Chordata; Lepidosauria; Squamata; Gekkonidae.
CGGGCUUUGAUCCCACAACACUUUAAUUAACAAUUAAAUGCCCAAUCCAACGGACUUCUACCUAGCUUCUCCCGU